UACGAAGGGGGCUAGCGUUGUUCGGAAUCACUGGGCGUAAAGCGCACGCAGGCGGAUUGAUAAGUCAGGGGUGAAAUCCCGGAGCUCAACUUCGGAAUUGCCUUUGAUACUGUCAAUCUCGAGUCCGGGAGAGGUGAGUGGAAUUCCUAGUGUAGAGGUGAAAUUCGUAGAUAUUAGGAAGAACACCAGUGGCGAAGGCGGCUCACUGGCCCGGCACUGACGCUCAUGUGCGAAAGCGUGGGGAGCAAACAGG
Molecule: ribosomal RNA, 253 nt
Filed under: uncultured bacterium
Lineage: Bacteria
Description: partial 16S ribosomal RNA
Rfam family: Bacterial small subunit ribosomal RNA
Source: RNAcentral